AUUAAGAACCGGGCCAAGGACUUAACAGAUGGAAAGUAGCUGUUGAAGAGGAUAAAAGAGGAAGACAGGAAGGGAAAUGGUUGCAAGAGUUCAAAAGAAACCAUCACUUAAUUCCACCUAACUGAAAGAGGCAGGAAAAUGUGGGGCAGCGUAUUGAUACUUGUGGACAACUCCGUGGGACCACUGCAGAUUCAAGGGUCUCUGUGGGGACAGCAGAGGCAUCCACUGAGACAAUAUCAGCCCACCUUCUCCCUGUGCCCGUCCGGCACCCUCCAGUCCGUGAAGAUGUUGACUAUCUGGAUGUCAACCUCCAUCUCAAAGUCUGCUUUCCAGAGAACACAAUGCAUGAUACUGGCUUAACCUCAUUUUUCAGGCCUCAGCUUAAAUGUUACUUCCUACGGCAGUGCUUUCCUAUACAUUUCUUCUCACAUAGACUUCAACCCC
Long non-coding RNA from Hippopotamus amphibius kiboko, 444 nucleotides. RefSeq lists it as uncharacterized. The transcript has 3 exons. Lineage: Eukaryota; Metazoa; Chordata; Mammalia; Artiodactyla; Hippopotamidae. The record is from RefSeq and is a predicted model, not a curated record.